Molecule: non-coding RNA, 89 nt
Organism: Parathielavia appendiculata
Lineage: Eukaryota; Fungi; Ascomycota; Sordariomycetes; Sordariales; Chaetomiaceae
Source: the annotation of a RefSeq genome assembly
UCUUCCGUAGUAUAGUGGUCAGUAUGUGAGCUUGUCAUCCAUCAGGGUCGACGUCGCUCGAGACCCGGGUUCAAUUCCCGGCGGGAGAG